Long non-coding RNA from Lycium barbarum (goji berry), 3520 nucleotides. RefSeq lists it as uncharacterized. The record is from RefSeq and is a predicted model, not a curated record. The transcript is spliced from 2 exons. Lineage: Eukaryota; Viridiplantae; Streptophyta; Magnoliopsida; Solanales; Solanaceae.
UUCUAUUUUAAUUGAUAAAACCAGAUUUACAAGAAAAUUUCCUCCUUUUUUUGUAUAGUUAAAGAGAUCUUAAAAGAAAAGAAACAAAAGUUGCCCACAAAAACUUAGAGACGGAUGACAAUAAUUUUCCUCUCUCUAAUGGUGCCGGCUCAUGUUAGUUAACGUGCAAAGGUGAGGUAAUCCAUGGCGAAGGGGAAGGCAAAAUGUAGAGGACGGGCUCAAAUUCUAGAGCAAGGGCAAGGUCGAGGUAGGGGACGACCUUGAAAGGUUCCUCUUGCAACAUUUGUUAGCUCUGUAGAUGUAAAUUAUUUUCUAUGACUCCUCUCUUUACCGAUUGCUGAGAAAUAUUUAUUAUUAGCAUCCCUAAGUUUAAUUCAUCUAGCCCUUGAUUUUUGCUUUGAAGCACUCUGUUCCAUCAAUGACCAUUUCUCAAGGUUAAGGAGUAAGUUUUUCUCUUGGUUGAUCAGUGAGUCAUUGGCCUGUGAUGAUAAUUUCUCCUGAACAUGGACUAGCUCUUGCCUUGCAAAAUUAAUCUUAGUUUUGAUAAACUUGAAGUCAUUAUUGUUGAGCUGUCUCAGUGCAGGCUUUGGCUUUAGCUUCUGUAACUUGUUUCACACAUAUUUCAUUCUAUGAGUAUCCAUUCUAUGCUGCCAUACUCUCCCCACAAUUUGUUCAAAAUACCCAUGUUCAACCCAAACAUUAAAGAACUUGAAUGGAAUCUUUUUUGGGCCCUGAUGAGGCUGCAAAUUUAUGAUCAUUAGAGCAUGAUCUGGGAUUUAAGGCAGCUCAUAAAUAGUCACUACUCAUCCCCAAUUGACCAUCCAUUCAAAGUUGCCAAAGACUUUAUCAAUUCUACUAGUAAUCUUGUCUGAUCCCAUCUGUGUAUUUGACCAAGUAGGAUGAUUCCCCCUGCCAAGUUAAUUCAUGAAGUGUAGUUUGUUGGAUACAGUCAGCAAAAUAUUAUACUUCAGUCAGAGUAAUGGGAAUACCACCUUGCCUAUCCUGUGGGGACAAAAAACUUAUAGCCAACGUUGGGAAAUACCUUAACUUAAGAGUGUUCAAGUCACUCCAUAAUGUCCUCCUUUGCUCUAUAGCAUUGAAACCAUAGAUCACAGAUAUUAAGAAAUGAUACUUGGUUCUAUCUCUCACCAAAUAAUGCACUAGUUGUGCAGUUCUAUGCUGGAGGGUAACCUCAAGCCAAUCAGGAUCCCAUAUGAACCGUAUCUUGCCAUUUACUACCUCCUGGUAGUUUAUAUGAAUAUUCCAACUUGGUGCAAUGUUAUGCAGUCUCUUUAUCAUAUUAUGUUCCUUUAGUCUUGUUUCUACAAUACUAGCUAGCCUUAUCCUUUUAUUUAUGAGGUACUGCUUAAACACUUUCUGCUUAUACCUCUUAUUUAUUCUUCUAAUUCCAAAAUAACUAAGUCAUUAGACUGUUAGGGUUGUUUCACCUCUAUCAAAAGGCAAUGCAGAAACAUUACUUUUCCCCUUAUGUAGUAUCUCAAAUCCAUUUUUGGUAACCACAGUUUGCAGCACAGGAAAAUUUUCAGUAUUAAAUUCUGGACUAGUUGAAGUAGUAGCACUUACUAGGGGAUUUCUAGGAGCAGUUUGUUUCUCCUGCCUUCCUAUGGAGGCACUAACUACAUUCUUCUCAUUUUGUGCCACUUCUUGUACCACAUUUUGGUUUACAAUAUUCUCAUUACCUUGUGGAGCAUUAGGGACACUUGUGUUCUGUACUACUUCUAGGAUAACAAUCCCUUUAGAUUUCCAUUCUUGAGUAACUUAUUUCCCAUGUCUUCUUUUCCUUACUGGUUCAGGUUUUUGAGCAGGUGGCUGCUCCUUGCAUAUAUGUCCCACUUUUUGGCAUUUAGGACAAAAUUCAGGUUUCCACUCAUAUACUACUCUUUAGCAUAUCAUUUAUUCAUUGGGAUCUCGAACCUUAAUAGCAGAGGGAAGGGGUUUUGUGAUAUUCACCUCAAUUAGCAUAUGAGCAUAGCAAAUUCUUGUUUGCUGCAUUGUGCACUCAUCAGCAAACAAGGGUGAACCUAUUGCACUAGAAAUUCUACAUAAUGAUCCAUAUCCCCAACAUUUCAAUGGUAGCUUAGGAAAAUUAACCCAUAGGGGAAUUUCCGACAUGAACUCAGGACUGAGAUCAAAAUCCUUAGACCAGGGCUUUAAAAUUUUGGCUUAUUAUUGAUAGUGUAAGGCCCUGCAUAUAGUACUUUGUGCAUAUCUUCAAUAGUCUGAAAUUUAAUUAUAUAAUACCCAUCAUCAUGAAUAUACAGUACAAGAUCAACAAUAUUUUCCCAAUUUUGGGAGAUAUACCGAGACAUAGCAUUGUAUCUUGGCCGUUCCCCAAAAAAAUAGGCAAUUAAAGUAUAGUUCCAUUUCUCCUCUUCUACUUUCACAUCUUCUUCAACUAAUUGAACUACAGUUUCAUUAACAACUAGAGGAGAAAAAUAAAGCCCGUUUGGAUUGGCUUAUAAGUUGGUCAAACCAGCUUAUAAGCCAUUUUUAACUUAUUUGGGUGUUUGACAAAUAUAAAAAACAGCUUAAAUUAAAUUCUCUGUUGGGUUUUCCUCCUCAUGGUCACUUGGAGUGGGAACACCGAGUUCACUAACUCAGCUGUGUUUUCCUUCUCUGGAGCUUGCACAGUUCCAUUAGCUUCUUUUACCAUAGAUCCACUCACAGAUGUCAGAUCCUCCGGAGUUUUGGGGCUGAGAAUCAGCUUCUUAGCCACCUCAGUUCUACUUGCUGAAGGGUAACCCGCCAUUUCUGUCACUUGAGCAUUUGGAUCUGGAAUCUCUGCACUUUCGGGUUGAUCUUGUGUCAUUGGAGAUCACCUCUCUUACUAGUCUCAAACUUAAAGAACCAGAGGAGAUACAAGAGAAAUUUUUCAACUUUUAUAAAAGUCUGAUGGGAACUGCUGCUGAUUUAUUGCCUGCUAUUAAUAAGCAUACCAUGAGAAAGGGUCCAACAUUGAGUCAGCAACAAAACCUUAGUUUACGUGCUGCAGCGAAUGUUGAGGAGGUGUAUGAUGCAUUGCAGGCUAUUGGUGAUGAUAAGGCACCAAGGUUCGCUGGAAAUGCUUGAUGUUUGGUAACAAAGCACAACCAAAAGCUUGUUUCACAAUGUGGUUGAUAUUGUAGCAAAGAUUGUUAACUGCUGAUAGGCUGAUUAAAUGGGGAAUUGAAGCUUCUCCAAAUUGUAGCCUGUGUCAUCAAGAACUUGAUUCAAAUGAGCACCUCUUUGUGCACUGUCCAGUAGCUAAAAAUGUGUUGAUCAGGGCAUUGAGAAGGAGCAAAUUCCCAGACUGCACUGCUACUAAUUGGGAUGAUUUUGUUCAAUGGGGUACCAGAUAAGGGUAGAGCGCAACCUGCCCAGUUCUUCAAGUUAAUCUUUGCAGAAUGCUGCUACGCAAUCUAGAUAGAGAGGAAUCAGAGAAGAUAUGAGAACAAGAGUAAUGAAGUGGAAGCUUUAGCCAAGGAUGUGGCCUUCAUAUGCACUACCCGAACUCCAAUUG